GGAUUUAAUACUCAAUAUCCACAAUCCGAAACCCCUCUUAUUUCUGGCCCAUAUUAAAACUGAGGGCGAAUCUUACCUUAAAAGACCGACUUUCACCCUUGGUCGUAUAACUAGACUGAACUUCAACUGCAGGACAAAUGGCUAACUAGUACUUACUUUCGCUUCAUCUUUGUUUGUCGAACGAUUUCGAAUCCUUUCCUUCUCAGUUACCCUUUGUACCAACCUUACCUAACUAUUUUUGGAGUUUUAAAAAUCUGAAGACAGCAGAAAAAAAAAUGUUCUAUCUAAGCCUAAUCGAGCACACUUUGAGAUUACCACCCCAUCUUCUUAACCUUCCUCUUGAUGAGGCUAUUAAGAUAGAGUUGGAAGCCCUUUUCUUGGAUAAGGUUAUUGCAAACUUGGGACUUUGCAUUUCAGUAUAUGACAUCAGGUCAAUUAAAGGCGGCUUUAUCUAUCCCGGGGAUGGUGCUUCUACCUAUACGGUGGAGUUCAGACUGAUUGUGUUUCGUCCAUUUGUUGGUGAGAUUAUUGUUGCAAAACUUAAAGAAUCUGACGCUAAUGGCUUGCGCUUGUCACUUGGAUUUUUUGAUGACAUUUACAUACCUGUCCAUCUUUUGCCAAUUCCAUCUCGCUUUGAAUCUGACCCUAAUAAUAGAAAUCAAGGAAGAUGGAUAUGGGACUUUGGAGAAGCAGAAGAAGCACAGUCUGAAGAACCACGAUUUGUUAUUGAUGGGAUGGAUCAGAUUAAAUUUCGAGUUCAUAGUGUUAUAUAUCCUUCAAUUCCUCUCGAACAGCCAGAAAAUUCAAAGCCAUUUGCCCCAAUGGUGAUUACUGGAUCAAUAGACUAUGAUGGUUUGGGCCCCGUUUCAUGGUGGGAGGAAGCAGAAAUGGUUCAGGAAGAAUCUUAAGUUUACAAAUCAGUAAGUGGAAGCAAGUGAGGCUUUGUUGAUUGGAUUUGUUUGUAGCUGCUUCACAAAUCACAAGGCAGCAGGAAUGAUCUUUUCAAAGCUUGCAAUAGCUGCAGCAGAGGGUGUUAAUGUUAAAUCUUACCUGGCUGACGUGCUUCUUCCCACACAGCACCUACGAGAAUAACAACUCAACCAUCAACUUAUCGAGGAAAUGCCAAAAGCUUGAAAUUGUUGCUUAGACAAUUUUGGCCACAAAUGCGACAGCUGCCUCCACCGCAAAUCAAUUCGACCAAUACAUGUUUAAUGGGCGGACCCCACCCACCAGCCCAAGGAUCUCAAACAAGCAUAAGCUAUAUUUACACCAAAGCCAGAGACGGUGAUAGGAAAAGAACAAACAUGGCCACCACUUCUUUUACAGCUCCCAAACUCUCUUCCCCAACUCUCCAAACCCUUUACCGAAACCUUCCCGUCUCUGUUCCUUUACCCAAGACCCGUUCUUCCUUUUCCCGCCACCUUUCUCCCUCUAUCUCUCGCUUCCACCAUCACCACUUGCACCGCCACCGCCUCUUCUCCGUUCGUGCCGAGUCCGAGAAUGGUGCUGAGCCGCCGCGGCACUAUGACUUCGACCUCUUUACAAUCGGCGCCGGCAGUGGUGGCGUUCGUGCUUCCCGUUUCGCAGCCAAGUUUGGUGCUUCUGUUGCUGUUUGUGAGCUUCCGUUUUCGACCAUUUCUUCUGAGACCACUGGCGGCGUUGGCGGGACAUGCGUACUUAGAGGAUGUGUACCA
This is a non-coding RNA of Theobroma cacao (cacao), 1694 nucleotides long. NCBI's taxonomy places the organism in Eukaryota, Viridiplantae, Streptophyta, Magnoliopsida, Malvales, Malvaceae. The record is from RefSeq and is a predicted model, not a curated record.